This 269-nucleotide unclassified non-coding RNA is filed under the name uncultured Russulaceae. RNAcentral's name for it is "sequence contains ITS2". The record is from RNAcentral. Lineage: Eukaryota; Fungi; Basidiomycota; Agaricomycetes; Russulales; Russulaceae.
AAUCAUCAAAACCUUUUUUCAAUGAUCUUUUUGGUCGAGAAAAGGAUUUUGGACUUGGAGGAUCAAUGCUCACUCUCACUUUUCGAAAGUGAGCUCCUCUCAAAUGAAUUAGUGGGGGUUUGCAUCGCCAAUCCUUGACGUGAUAAGUUGUUUCUACGUUUCGGAUUUGGUGCUGUCCCUUGGACACCCGCUUCUAACCGUCUUAUGGACGACGAUGGUGUUCCGGUCACUGCUGCCUGUGUCGGUGGGAGGCUGGACCCACAAGAAAA